UGCUCAUAAACGUGUGAAGGGCUCCUCAUUUUUAUCCCCUUUUUAAUUUGUCCAGUCAGAUGGAUUAUGAGGAAAACCUAACGUAGCUCUGUUGUAUUCACAACUAGAGGGCGAAAACGUUCUAUAUCACGUAUCACGUAAUUAAAAACAUACAAAUUCAACCAUUAUUCUUUCAGACGUUUCACCACUAUAUAUCUUGAAAAUAUCAAAAUUAUUCUAGAUACAAAAUUAGGCUUCAAAUAAAUAAUAUUUUUAAAUAAAAUAAUAUUAUAUUAAAUAGAUUCACCACUCUAUAUCCAAUAUCAAAAUUAUUCAAGAUACAAACUUGGCUUCAAAUAAUUUAUUAAAAUUAAAGGAAAAAAAGGUUGCUUGCAUCCUUUGCAUAAAGAUGAUAAGUAUAAUAUUGAUAUUAAAAGUAUACCGAAAUUUUCUGGACAUAUGAAGAGGUGAUACACAAAUAAAAAAUUUGGGCAAUCUUCAAACAACUCAUAAAAAGUUAUUAAACCUUCAACUUUAUCAAAAGAAAAGGCUGAAUGGAUCAUAAAUAAAAUAUGUAAACAGUCUGCAUUGAAUAAAGUUUUUAAUAAUGAGAUGAUUAAUUCUGACGACAUUCUUACCAAAAAAAAUGAUAUGCAAUCUUUAAAAAAUGAUGAAGUGGAUUUUAAAAUAAUAUUUCACAAAUGAUGCAUGGGUACAAGUUUCAGGAUUUAAAUGAAUAAAUUAUGGCGGAGUCAUGGAUUUGUCAGAAAUGUUACCUCUCUUUAGAUGAUGAUGCAUCCAUUUCAUGUGAUUCUUGCUUGUCCUGGUUUCAUUUCAAAAGUUAAACAUUUUAAAAAAAACCAUAUAAAAUUCAUUGGUUUUGUGAAAAUUGUUAAAUUUAUUUUUAUUCUCAUUUUAUGUUUUAGUUAUAAUAAUAUAAUUAUAUAUGUAUUUAUUAGAAUUACAGUUGUAAAUGAAAUCUUAUUGAAUAAGAUUAUUGCAAUUGAAUUUGUUUACUUGAUUUUAUCUCAUUUCUUA
This is a long non-coding RNA of Gordionus sp. m RMFG-2023, 1017 nucleotides long. RefSeq lists it as uncharacterized. Lineage: Eukaryota; Metazoa; Nematomorpha; Gordioida; Chordodea; Parachordodidae. The record is from RefSeq and is a predicted model, not a curated record. The transcript is spliced from 5 exons.